AGUUUUUGGGAAACUUCUGUAAAAUGUAUCUGGAAUGAUACAGAGAAGAUUAGCAUGGCCCUUGCACAAGGAUGACACGCAAAUUCGUGAAGCAUUCCAUAUUUUU
Non-coding RNA from Gavia stellata (red-throated loon), 106 nucleotides. The record is from Rfam. NCBI's taxonomy places the organism in Eukaryota, Metazoa, Chordata, Aves, Gaviiformes, Gaviidae.